UUGAAAAGAGAGUGCAAGAGGAACGUGAAACCGGUGUAAUGGAAGCAUAUGGAGUUGACGUAUCUGGUACGUAUUCAGUCGUCGGCGGUCGUGAUUGCCGGGCGUGGUAUUCCGCAAGGUUGCCCGUUUGGUAUUGUUGCGGUCGUUGAUGGUGCAUUUGCGUGCGGAGUGCGCCGAGUCGUGUGCUGGUGUCGAUCGAAACUGCUCGAGAGGACAUGACUUCGGUCGUGAAACCUUGUGCGGUGGAGGUUGGUUGCCGGUGCGCGGUUUCGUGGAAGUGCGGGUUUUUCGCGUGCUUGUAUGUCGAUUGGGCCGGUUCGUGUUGUACGCUUGCGUGCGGCGCUUAUGGGUUUAGUCGGUGUGCGGGUGUGCUCUGCGCUCUUCUCGGUGUAUAGUCAAUGACCCAUUUGACCCGUCUUGAAACACGGACCAAGGAGUUUAUGGUAUACGCGAGUCAUUGGGUAUACGAAACUCAAAGGCGAAAUGAAAGUGAGACCUUACUGGUUUUAAUGUGAACGGCUGGUGUUUCGACGUCGACCGUGCAACAUUGCCCCGUUUCGAGGACUUGUCCUGUUGCGGAGGUUGAGCGUAUGCUAUGAGACCCGAAAGAUGGUGAACUAUGCCUGUACAGGAUGAAGCCAGAGGAAACUCUGGUGGAAGUCCGAAGCGGUUCUGACGUGCAAAUCGAUCGUCUGAUAUUGGUAUAGGGGCGCAAGACUAAUCGAACCAUCUAGUAGCUGGUUCCUUCCGAA
RNAcentral lists this ribosomal RNA (752 nucleotides) under Bursaphelenchus hofmanni. Its description in RNAcentral is "partial large subunit ribosomal RNA". It matches the Rfam family "Eukaryotic large subunit ribosomal RNA", at positions 376 to 965 of the family's 3401-position model. Lineage: Eukaryota; Metazoa; Nematoda; Chromadorea; Rhabditida; Aphelenchoididae. The record is from RNAcentral.